UCGAGAAUUUUUCUCAAUGGGCGCAAGCCUGAAGGAGCGACGCCGCGUGGAGGAUGAAGGUCUUCGGAUUGUAAACUCCUGUCAUUAGGGAACAAAGCUUCCGGUUAACUGCCGUGGAGUCUGAUAGUACCUGAAGAGGAAGAGACGGCUAACUCUGUGCCAGCAGCCGCGGUAAUACAGAGGUCUCAAGCGUUGUUCGGAUUCAUUGGGCGUAAAGGGUGCGUAGGUGGCAAGGUAAGUCGGGUGUGAAAUCCCGGGGCUCAACCCUGGAACUGCACUCGAUACUGCCAUGCUCGAGUACUGGAGAGGAGACUGGAAUUUACGGUGUAGCAGUGAAAUGCGUAGAUAUCGUAAGGAAGACCAGUGGCGAAGGCGAGUCUCUGGACAGUUACUGACACUGAGGCACGAAGGCCAGGGGAGCAAACGGGAUUAGAUACCCGAGUAGUCCCUGAGCGGGCUGGCAAGGCGCAU
Molecule: ribosomal RNA, 471 nt
Filed under: uncultured bacterium
Lineage: Bacteria
Description: bacterial SSU rRNA
Rfam family: Bacterial small subunit ribosomal RNA
Source: RNAcentral